Molecule: ribosomal RNA, 480 nt
Filed under: Triticum aestivum (bread wheat)
Lineage: Eukaryota; Viridiplantae; Streptophyta; Magnoliopsida; Poales; Poaceae
Description: partial small subunit ribosomal RNA
Source: RNAcentral
AUGGAGGGACGCCCCCGCGGCGGCGGCCGGACCGCCAUGGACUACUCGCUGGCGGCGCUGAAGCUGUUCGCCUCGCAGCUGGCGGGAUCCACGACCGCCCCCUCCUCGGAGGGCUCCUCCCCGGCGCAGAUGCUCUUCGGCAUCCGCUUCCAGCGCGCCUGGAUCCAGGGCGUGGUGGUGCGCGCGGACUACAGCGUCGGCGACGGGAGGCUGUUCGUGGAUGACGGCUCCUGCGUCACCGAGCUCAUGCUCCGGCCCGAGGAUGCCAAGGGCCAGCCCUGGCGCCCAGGGAUGUAUGUGCUGAUUAUUGGGGCAUAUAUUGCUCCCCAGUCUACUGAAAGUCUGCCAAUGGUCAAGGUGCACAAGAUAGUGGAUCUCUCUGGGCACCCGGACCGUGAAGCGAUGUGGUACAUGGAAGUGGCCGAGGCAUACAACUUCUUCUACAAGGCUGACGCCUCCGGUGCCGGCUCACCGCCAUGA